Long non-coding RNA from Ctenopharyngodon idella (grass carp), 13384 nucleotides. RefSeq lists it as uncharacterized. The record is from RefSeq and is a predicted model, not a curated record. Lineage: Eukaryota; Metazoa; Chordata; Actinopteri; Cypriniformes; Xenocyprididae. The transcript is spliced from 4 exons.
UUUAAGAUUAUAUAUCAUGUUUUAUGAACUAAUGCUGGAACUCAGCAAGAAAGAAGUAAAGAAUUAAAGAAGUUAAAGAACUUAAAGGAGUAACCAACUCACCAUGUUUAAAAAAUUCUGACUAAAUCACAAUUUGAUACUUCAGGGUUAUUAUAAAUGUUUAGCUUUUCUGAGAGCAACAAAAAAUGACGAUGACUGUUCAGAACAACCACAUGACCAACAACACCAUAUAAAUGUUUUAUGGAGUAACAGUGAAAGAGGAACUGUGUAUCAGAGAGACAUUACAUCAACCAGAUAUCACAUCUAUGAGACUAUGAGGGUCAUUGGUUUACUCCAUUUUUCGUUUUAUGGGUUCAUUGUGAACACACAUGCUCUCCAGCAUCAGCGAGUCCGACCCAAUGGCAUGGCUAUUCUUCCCUGUGGUGACCUGAAGAUUGGGAAAGUGACCUGGAGCAGAGAUAUGAAAGGACAUCAAGUGUACAUCCUCAGCACUGAUAAUGGAGAGAUAAUCAGACACAUGAAUAAUAACAAUCACAGCUCAUUGCCAGAUCUGUCUCUGAUUAUCUGGUUUGCCUCAUUUUGGGAUGAAGGCUUGUAUUAUUGCAACGGGACACCAGUGGCAUGUCUAACAGUGAAACAAGCUGAUGGACAGAACACUGAAGAUCUGACUGAAUGUCUCAAAGGUGCUAGCCAUGUGAAUGUGAUGGAGCAAGUGUUGAUGUUCGGCGGUGUUGGACUGGCAGCUCUGAUGUUUCUCUUUGCUACUGCAGCUGCAGUGCAAGCUUUAUACUCUUCUGACAAUGUAAAGCAAAGAGCUCACACUACAGACCAUGCUCAAACAUCGGUGACUGAUAUGUAUUACAUUAACCUGAGAGAACAGCAAUGAAACUGAUUUAAGUCUUUAAGAAAGCUUUUGACAAAUAAAUUGUUUACUUUCUGAUAAGAUAAAGAACCACUGUUACUAUUGUUCAUACUUAGUGUUAGAUAUUUGAUUAAACCCCUAAUAAUAUUAAACUUCCACACCAUUUGUGCUAUGGACAUGAAUGAUACCUCAGAUCAUGCAGCUUGAGGAGGAGAGUGAGGAACAAUAAAGUGGGAAAUGUGCAUAAAAUGGCAAAGACUUACAUUAAAGGACUCAUCCAUCUAAAAAAACAGAACAUCUUACUUUCAUAUGUGGGAUGAUGUGGGAUUACUCAACUGACGGUUUCAACAUAUUGUGAUAACAUAAAAUUCCUUUUUGAGAACUUUUUUUUCUCUCCCCAUUUCAUGCUAUAUUUCACAAGACAACUCAGUGGCAAACAAGAAGCAUUGCAAAAAAAUAUAAACAAAUUCUAUAAACAAGAAGUUUACACUGAGUCAAUUACAUUUUAGACACUUUGUGGCAUCUUUAUUCUUGGUUGCUUCCUCUUGGUUACAUCAUUGAUCUGAUGACACAAAGUUUUAUAUCAGCUCCAUACUUACUGUCUUCUCCCCACAAGCUCUUUAAAUGCCUGUAUGAAUUACAUCAAAAUGACCAGCAUUAUCAAGGGAAACAAAACAAAAAUGUAUUACUAAUUGAUUCCAAAAAUCAUACUAUUUCUCAUUCUGAUUUGUCUGUUGACAUCGAUGGCUUACUGAUCAGACCCCGUUCUACAGUUCGUAACUGCUCUCAUAUCUCCCCUUCUCUAAAAUGUUGGACUAGACUGCGCCAAAUUUUUUAACUGGGUACUGACUGAUCAGUAUCAAUGCAGCCUAAGUAAUUAUAUAAAAGUGUAAAAGCAUUUGUACACCUAUAUGAAAAUGCAGAUGAGAUCAUUUUAACUGAACUAUCAUUUAAAAAAGCAACAACACAUUUUUAGUUCUUAGGUAUAUGUGGUUGUCACAUGUGCACUAAGUUUUUAAAAUAAGAUGAUUGUUGAAAGUUACAAACAUAAUUAUACUCAUAACUGCAGUUCUGAACAAAAUAGUGCUGUUAUAGCUUAUAUAUACAGUAGAUUACCUCUAGGGAGUGCACUCAUACCACCGCCAAAAAAUACAUGGAGUCUAAAUUGUUUGUCUUUCAUAAAAUCAAAAUAGAAGAGAGAAAUACAUAGUUGUUGUGCUUAUUGUCAUGAUGACUUUCGUCACUUUCAUUAUGAAUAAAUCAUCUUAAUGAUGUUAUAAAAUUAAUCUUCUUGCACCAGACACGUGUUUGGAAGUAUAUGAACUAAACUCCACUAUGAUAUAGGUUUGUGUGAUGUAAACAUUUGUGAAAGAAAUGAAAAUGAAUAAAAUCUGUGUAGAUAGCGGCAGUUUUAUUAUUAUUAUUAUUAUUACAACAAUCAAAAGGAGCCCUUUCUCAAUAAUUACAUCACACUUUCACAACUUCUCUUUUUUUUGGUUUUUGGUUUUGGUAGUUUCAGUUUAUUUCACAUUCAAAAUGCACUGAAACUACCAAAACACAUCAUACAUCUCAGAGCUUUAAUAACCGAAAACAGGGCAGUCUCAGUUGAGUGUCCAUGUUUGAAACCAGACUGGUUGUUUGUCCAGGAGCUUGUUCUGUCAAAAGGUAGAACAUGACUCGUUCAAGUGUCUUAGUAAAUAAUGGUAGAAGGGAUACCAGUCUGUAGUUUUCUAAAAGAGCUGGAUUUAGAGUGGGUUUUUUAAGCAUUGGGGUUAUCCGAGCCUGCUUAAAUGCUGUGGGAAAGGUACCAGUGUGAAGAGAGUUGAUGAUGGCGCGAGCUGGCCUGGAUGAAAGGGGGGAAAUUUGUUUAAACAAGAUGUUAGAGUGGAGAAAAGUUCAUCAGUAGCACUUGGCACUUGUCCUUGCCCAGUGGACUAGCAUAGGUAGACUUGCUGGUCGUCACAACAAGGGACUAUACUAACUAAUUAUAUACCCGCCUGAUUCAGCAUUAUUGAAUUCAGCAGGACAUGCCUUACUAUUUAACAAAACAAAAGGGGCUAUGUUAGCUCAGCCAAACUGAAAAGCCACACGGCACAGCACGAGAACAAAUGUGACUUCAGCAUGUGUUUGUCAGAGAUCAGCCAGGCUCCAUCACCACCCAGUCACAGAGAUCACAGUCACUCCAUCGCCAGUGGUAUCCAGUCCCGUGGCCACAUCAAUGCCCUACUCUGGCUCGAUGGAGGAUUGCGACGGAUUUCUUCUUCAGUGUUUGCUGGCCCUAGAGAUGCAGUCACACCGGUUCAUCACCAAAAGAGCCAAAAUAGCCUUCAUAAUCACCCUGCUGAGGGGACGAGCGGUUCACUGGGCCCAAACCAUCUGGAAUCAAAAUUGAUUGUCAUGCAAACACUGAGUAAUUUCACCACUCAUUUUUGUGAAGUUUUUGGGGUUCCUGAUGGCGAUUCUUCUGUUGGUGAGCAAUUAUAUCAUCUUUCUCAAGGGAAAAUGUCUGUUUCUGAUUAUGCUCUUCAGUUCAGAACCCUAGCAGCGGCCAGUGGCUGGAAUGAGUGCUCACUCAUCACCACCUACUGGCAAGGAUUAAAUCCCUGGUUUUGACUGCAUCUGGCUGGACACGACGAUGCCAUCGGGCUAGAACGGUUCAUCCAUCUCUCCAUCCGCACCAAUCGUUGUAUGCAGCCCUGCCUGGAAGACCUACAGGGCCAGCCUUCACCACCACGUCCUCGCCAGCCAGAGUAUACUAGCUCUCCAGAACCAGAAUCCAUGCAACUGGAGAAAUGAGCGGCAGAGGAGGCUGACCCAGGGUCGUUUGUCUCUAUUGUGGUUCUGGGGGACAUGUUAUCACUGCCUGUCCCAGGGGCAGAUCUAGAAAAUUAUUUAUAUGGUGGCAUGAGGUCUAUGAGGGGUGGCAACACCAAAGCAAGCGCCCAUGCAUAGUUUUUGGAGAUUUAUGGCCUGACAUACACAAUUGCGUUCACAAACAUUGCAUUACCACAAAGUAGUCAUCUAUACUGUUUAAAAUUAAAAAUAAAUAACAAGAUUUCAAUAUCCAUCAUGGCACCAAGUCAAGACACUAUACGAAAAACAUCAGCAGAUUCUAAAUUAGUCUAAGCUUGUAUCACUAAAGGAGAUGAGCAGUUUUAUUAAUAUUACACAGGCUACUUCAAUGGUAUAAAUCACAUGUUUUAGUGCAAGUUAAAGAACAACAAAAACUUGUUUUUUUGCGAACAAUUUUUGAGUUUCUGUUAUUAACAGAGGUGGGAAUGUCUGUGUGUGUUCACCCAGAACACCCUAUCAACUACAUACUCAGGCAACACCCCAGCAACUGCAUAGCAAGAGCCUAGAAACCACCUAGCAACACUUUAGCAAUCACCCAGAACAUCUAUAUUCUGGCCGAACUGACCAAACUAUUUAUGUUUUUUAAACAAGACUUUAAGUUGGCUUUAUGACAAGCCAGCAUAAAUUUGUCUUUCAAACUUUUCAGUCUUAUUGUUUUUCUUGAUUGCUAACGCACAAUUCAUGAAACAAUUCAACAUUUUCUCACAACUAUAAACACAAUCUCAAAACUAUACACCAACUUGUACAAACCUCAAGCUUCCAGGUCAAAAUAAAUGUUCUAGUCAAAAACUUAUUCUUGUCUGACAAAAUCAAACUUUGGCAUCAGAUGACACACAAAACUUAACAAAUACACAGACUAGGCCUACUGCACUGCCCAGUGAACACUAGUCAGAUCAAUUCAUAUAACACUGUAACAAAAACCUUAUUGGGAUUCAGGAAUUAUUUUGCAGCUCAAUGUCUACUACACUAUACAAAAAUAAAUUUACAGAUGCAGAUACAGCAAAAUACAGCAAUGACCUUUUGGAGGGAAUUUUUCUUUUUCAUUUUACUAUUGUAAAGUGAUCUUGCAGUAGAUGAAAAGCAUGAGAAAAAUAUGUAUGAACUUGGUAUGCACCACAGUAAAUUCAGCAUUCUCUGAACAUUUGGCUAAAUUUCAUUAAAGUAGCUAUAUACAGUACUAUAGCAGUGUAUUGGUCUUCUGACACAAGACUAUAUCCUUAGGCAGUCAUUUCUCAGUUUUGCAAAAAUACAGUAGGCUACACAUAACAAAUGGCUACAAAGAAAGUUGACAAUCACAAGUUUGAGGGUGUACAACUUGCUACAGUUUACUGUACACAGAAUAGUGAAAUUUCCCUCAUCUAAAGCUACUAGUAGGCCUACUGUGUAAGUUUAAAACCCCGAUAAAUUAUUCUUUCAGCUCUCUCUCAGAUUUUGACUGGUGUGUCAUCAGUCUUGCUACCUAAUGUUGUCAUUGUUAAACGUUUUGAUAAAUGUGUCUUUGUUUUGAGAACUGAUGGUUUGGGAAACUGGGCCCGGCCAACUGAAUCACUUAUAAUGUGUUAGCAAUCGAGAAAAGCUAAAAUACGUUUAGAUUCUUACCUAACUCUGCUAUUAGUUUCUGUGAUCGGGAUCUUCUUAUUGAUUUCAUAUUAUUGUUUCGUUGGAUGACAAAAAGACCUUUAUCCAUGAUGAAAGUGGAGCGGGCGGUGAAUCAGCUUGCCAAAAAAUUACGAAAAUGAAUCUCAGACAUAUUCAGAUAGGAUUACAUUUCUCACAGGACUUCUGAGUUAGCCGGGAAGCAGUAAUUUUCCGAUUCACGAACAAAUGGGGAAAAAAAAUUUGUACGUGAACUUGGCUGUGCUGUGUGUUUUUGAACCGGUUCAUAAGAGUCAUUUGUUAAUGAAGCUGACUACACUGGGCGCGCUGCACGCAACCAUCAUGCACAUUGAAAGACAUGUUUCUUGCCAUUAUUUUGCAUUAAGCUGUCUUUUUUAGGUCAUCACAUUGAAGCCGCUGUUGAAAAGCAGUACUUGAAACACUGCUUACAUUUAUAUUUUAUUCUGUGAUAAUUUUGGGGUGGCAAAGCUUUUUCUUAGGGUGGCAGUUGCCACCCCGUGCCACCCCGGUAGAUCCGCCAUUGGCCUGUCCCAUUCAUCCACCAAGACCUAUGGUGAGUGUCAUCCAUUCAGUGUCUGUUAAUACGAAGCCACUUACUACUGAAGUUAUUCUUACUGCCUCACGUCUCCCAUCCAGUACGUUCUCCUCGACUCUGGGUCAGCUAGAAACUUAAUCUUCGAAUCCCUCUGCCGCCAGCUCAACCUCAAGAAGAGGCCCAUUGAGACUCAUUACCAGGUCCAGUCGAUCAUCGGCAAACCCUUAAACAAGAGGAAUGUGCGCCAUGCUGUAGGAGCUGUCCAGUUGCAAAUAGGACCGUUGCACACCGAAUCCAUCGUCUUCCUGUUUCUGGAGAAUUCCACCGCUGGUAUAAUUCUAAGGCGCCCGUGGCUAGUGCAACAUGACCCCGUUCUCUCCUGGAACACCGGUGAAGUCCUGAAGUGGGACGAUAGCUGUUUUCCCGGAUGCUUCCUCAUCCAGUGAAGCCUCUCUCAGUCAACACCACCUCCAUCGAGAGCCCGGUUGAACCAUAAUCCAUGGAGAUUCCAGCCUGCUACGCCCCCUUCAGUGACGUAUUCUGCCCCAAACAGGCAUUGUCGUUGCCUUCACACAGGCCAUGGGACUCUGCCAUCAACCUCCUUCCGGAUGAGCCAGUGCCCCACAGUAAAAUUUAUUCACUAUCUGCCCCGACUGCGCCAUCUCCAAAAGCCCACGCCAUCUUCCAUCUGGCAAACUUCUUCCCUUGCCCGUACCACAGCGCCCUUGGUCACACCUAGGAGUAGACUUUGCCACCGACCUAUCUCCAUCUGAAGGUAACACACGUAUCCUAGUCAUUGUUGACCGAUUCUCUAAAUCCUGCUGUAUGAUUCCUCUGAAGGGCUUACCUACUGCCAUGACAACAGCGGAACUUCUCUUCAAUCAUGUAUUCCGAUACUAUGGUAUCCUAGAGGACAUUGUGUCUGACAGAGGCCCACAAUUCAUUUCCCAGGUAUGGAAGGAUUUCUUCAGGCUCCUAGGUGUGACCGUCAGUCUGUCAUCAGGGUACCAUCCACAGUCGAAUGGGCAAGCAGAGAGGAAGAUUCAGGAGAUUGGGCUCCUGUUUACUUUACCUGCCACGUCCAAUAAACUCUCAUAUUCAUUGCUACAUCGUUGUGAGUCCGUGUUCCGUAACAGUGUUACCACAGUAAACGAAACAAUGUUUCCACCACACGUACGAUAUUCCUUGAUGGACAUCAUCUUUUCUUCCUGCCGGAACGAAGAAGGGAGGUGGCGAAAGAAAGCACUGUCCUCUUAAAGGCAAGAUCAACGGCAAGAAGAAUUCAAUGAUUGCUUCAUGAAGGAGAAAGAUUUUGAGGCAAAGGCACUGAGAGCCGAGCAUAUAGUGAAUGGCUUUGCCCAUAUUUCGUGCUCUGUCACCAUUGGCAAGUAAUUUUUAAUGCCGCAAUGCAGUCAGACUUCAGUAUUUGAGGAAGGAGUGGGAUAAUCCACAGUGCAACAGAGUGACAGUGACAAGACAAGACACAGAUAAUAAAAAGAACAAUAUACAAAUAUACAGACAAUGUGCAAAAUAGCAAAGACACAAUAUACAAAUUAAAAUAAAUUAAAAUAGGCAAUUUACUAUGUACAGAUAUGUUAGGUGUAAAUUAGAAAUGUAAAGAAGUAUGUGUGUUAAAUAAAUGAAUGUAUAAUAGUGUGUAUGUGUGUAUGUGUGUUGUGUGUUCCUUGUUUAUUGUCAAGUGUUCAUGAGAUGGAUUGCCUGAGGGAAGAAACUGUUCCUGUGUUUGGUCGUUCUGGAGCUCAGGACUCUGUAGCGUCGACCAGAUGGCAACAGUUCAAAGAGGGAGUGUGCUGGAUGUGAGGGGUCCAGAGUGAUUUUGCCAGCCCUUUGCGCACUCUGAAUAAGUACAGAUCUUGGAGAGUGGGGAGGGUUGUACCAAUGAUUCGCUCAGCAGUACGGACUAUCCGACGUAGUCUUCUGAGGUCAGAAUUGGUAGCUGAGUUGAACCAGACGGUAAUUGAAGUGCAUAGGACGGAUUCAAUGAUGGCAGAGUAGAACUGUUUCAGCAGUUCCUGUGGUAGGUUGAACUUCCUCAGUUGGCAGAGGAAGUACAGCCUCUGUUGGGUCUUUUUCACAAUAGAGUCUAUGUGAAUGUCCCACUUUGACUUUCCAGUGCAUUUUGUUAUCUUUAUAAAUACUUUUACAACAUGAAUAAUGUUUUAAAUAAAAAAAUGUUCAAUAGAGAAAUAUGCUAUGAUAAAAAUGUGAAAAGUGAUUCUUUUAAAUACCAAAACCCCCAGUAGAUGAUGGUAAGUCACUGUCGUAAUGCGUGAGUCAUCAAGUCAUUUGUUCAGUGAAGCAAGUGGCUGUAUUUAUGAAUGAAACAUUGAACUUUGACGAAACACCGCUGUUGAGUUCUGCUGUGGCUUUCAUUGGAGCUAUUUGUUGCAAAAUAGAGCAAAUACUGACAAUACUGUGAAGAACAUCACUUAUUAUUAGCCUUUUGUUUGUUGAAAUGUCGUAUAAAAUCAAUGUCACAUUUGCAAAAGUGUGGAUAUUUGGAUUUGCGUUCUUGAUCGUAUAAUAUUAUCAACAUUAAAAACAAGAACUCACAAAAGGUAUGUUUUGUAUCAAGAGUUUGAAUCUUAAAUUGAUCUCUAUGCACCUUUUGUGCCAGACUAUUUGUUCUUCGUGCUAGUAAGUGCUAAAUUUGCAGGUACAUUGUCGAGAACGGCAAUAAUGUAGCGUGGUUUGCUAAGGCAGCAGACUGCACACAACCUAUAUGCACCCAUAAGCACGCUGCUUAUGUGGAAAUGGAUGCAGUCAGUUUUGACAGCAAAAGAUGUGGUAUUUUGAUUGGAUGUCAUGCAUUUAUGGCAUUGUGCCUGUUAUUAAAACUGAGCAUGUAUUUUCUGUUAUUUUAAGGUGGAGAAGAAUUAAAUGAACGGCAAAAUUCGGCAUUUUGCUCACGUACCCCCUCCGUCAACUCACGUACCCCAGUUGGGAACCACUGCCAUAGUGCAUCUUGGUGCCAUGUGUUCCCCAGGUAAGCGACGCACACGCACCUGGCCAUCCACGUGAUGUAAAAGACAGGGCCAUGGCCGCCCAUGACCCUGUCGCCAGUUCACCACUGUUCCUUCUUUGGACCACUUUACUGACCACUGCAGACCGGGAACAUCCCACAAGAGCUGCAGUUUUGGGCAUGCUCUGACCCGGUCCUCUAGCCAUCACAAUUUGGCCCUUGUCAAACUUGCUCAAAUCCUUAUGCUUGCCCAUUUUUCCUGCUUCUGUAAUGCUUUGGCCCAGAUAACGCUAGUUAAAUCUAUGGAAUAAAAGAGUUUGAAGGCGAAAAGUCUGUAUUCCACACGUUUAAUGGCAGGUCCACAGGGACACGCUCCUCACAUACAUGAGAGAUUGACUCUUUCUUAGCAUUACAAAUAAAAGUAAAGCAAAAUUAUAACAAGAUGAGAGAGCACAUUUUUUUCAUCUACCAUGGUACUCAUCACAUAGUCACGUAGUCCUUCUACGUCAUCACCGCAUAGCGUGCUUUGAGUGAAGUGAUCAGUCUCUUAAAAGGCACAACGCACAAUAAUGUGAUGCAUGUAAAUACAUAGUUUAGGCUGUUACACUUCUAACACAUCAGCUUUGAGGACAAAGUGUUCACUUGCUGUCUAAUAUAUCCCACCUAAUAACAGGUGCCGUGAUGAAGAGAUAAUCAGUGUUAUUCACUUCACCUGUCAGUGGUCAUAAUGUUAUGCCUGUUAUUGGGUGGGAUAUAUUAGGCAGCAAGUGAACACUUUGUCAUACCUUUUACAUACCUUUUAAAUUGUAUUUUUACAUUAACAAGUCAAUCUCAUAAAGUUAGUGUUUAAGCAUUUUUAUGUUUAUUCCAAUAUAAUAACUAAAGGCAGUAACAAUUUAAACAAUAUAUUUUAUUUGUGCAUUGAUGUUCAGCUGUUCUUUUUAAUAGUCAACUUAGGCUAUUUCGGAUCAUCAUUCAUGCUCGGUAAACACUGUCUGUCACAGACACAAAGAUGUAGCUAUAAUUUCACCAAGCUGAUUGCACUAAAACCCCCCGUAGUCAUCAGGUUUUCAGGUCUUUUCAAGUUUAAUUAUGACGUGACAUAAAGCGGUGAUAUCUAAGUGGCUGAGCUGUUUACUUACUUUUCAAUUAGUCUUCCCUUGACGCCCUCAUUUUGUUCAUUCAGACUGACACACGUAACACGCACAUAAACAAGAGGCGGGAUUUAUAGCACAAACCAAUCAUAACCAAUUUCAUCCAAUCAUAGCGCGAUGAAGGCAUUGCCUCCUCUCACGUGACCUUCCCCCAUUCAUUCUCAGUUAUCCCUCACAAAACCCACUGGAUGCUUUAGGGGGUCUAUUGGUUUUCUAUGAGGGGAAGGGAGGCACGAGAGAUGCAGACUCCCGCUGUAACUUUACCUGCGGGUGUUGCUGUUGGACAGUGUUCCUUUAGAAAUACGAGUGACUUACACACUUUUUAAUGUCACAUUUUGUAAUAUUUGCUUUGUUGUAUUUUUGUAAUAUGGAUUACUUUCUCAUUCUAUUUUUUUGAGGAGGAACUGCCUCCCUUGCCGCCUCAGAGGAAACACCCCUGAUAUAUAUACGGUUUUACAAGCGCACACACCUAGCGCAUGCACAGAAAACCAGCUGUCACAGCACGUGUACUAAACUGAAUUAUCUGUAGCAUCUUAAUGCAUUUAAAGUGUCAAAAAAUUAAAAAAAAUUUAGUGUCAAAAAAUUUAAAGAGUCAAAAAAUUUUAAGUGUCAAAAAAAAAAAAAAAACAAGGAAAACAAUACAAAAUAAAUUUUAUUUACAAAGACAGAUGUGUGAUAUAGUGCAAGAAUACGGAUGUAAUAUUGCAACAAAAUUUAUAUUUUUGUGCAAAAGAUAAACAACUUAAGCUCAUUCAAGAGCAUUUGUAGUAAUGUAAUAUUACAAAAUAACAAUUAAUAAUAAUAAUCUUUACAAACAAAUUCCUUGGUUAGUGAGGAACAUACAUUUAAGUGAAUGGGAUCAAAUUUUGAAGGCCAUAGGGUCAAGCCAUCAAACAGUAAACUGGACUAGAUCCAUAAAGCAACAGAAUGAACACAAAGAGGUCUGAGACUACAUUCAUACUUAAGUGGACCAAAAAAGGAUCUGAGUCUUCUUUCAGGGACAUGGACAGUGUGAACGUAAAGAGAACUGGGUCCUUUUUCACUUGGUUCACCUUUUGGUCCACUUAAAGUGGUAUGAGUUUGGUUCUUUUACAGAGAGGACCCAAGUGUGAAAUCACCCUUAGACAUAAAUUUUAUAAUAAGGGUGUUUUCACACUUGGGUCCUCUUUAAAAGAACCAAACUCAGACCCCUUUAAGUGGACCAAGAUGUGUACAAUAUGUUUUACACAGAUUAGAUCCAUACCAUAAUUCAAGAAAUGAGAAAUCAUUCACACAUAUAGUAAAGAAGACACACCUCCAAUAAACCAUUCAAUAUUUAGUAACAAAUGCAUGAAUUAUGUGUGAUCUAAGCAUACUAGUCACAUAUAUAGGUUGUAGACAUGAUAUAGAAUUAUGCAGUUGAACGAUGUUUGAUUAUAAGUCCAUGGUGUAAAGUAUUUGAGUAAAUGUAUUUAGUUACUGUACUUAAGUAUCUUUUUGGCUACUUUGUAGUUGUACUGAGUAUCAAAGAUAUUAGCAACUUUUAAUCUCUACUUGACUACAUUUUUGAACAAGUAAAUGCACUUUUUACUCCUAUACAUUUGUAAUGAGUAAUGCAAUUACACAUUACAUUUUGCAUGGCACCUAACUUUUUCUGCAGUACUUUGUUUCUGCUAUAAAGAAGCGAUAUCGCCAUCUAAGGGCAUUGAAGGUACUAUAUCUUGUGAAUUUUGCCUUUACUCACCCAAACUUGUCAACAAGGCUACUUUACAUGAAUGCGAGUGCAUUAGCAGGUAGUUGUGAACCGCAGGUGUUUGAUUUUUAGCUCAGCCGGUGAUGAGGCUGAAACCAGCACAUCAAGUGAAAGUAGACAUACUUUUUUAUUUUAUUUAUCCACUAUAUUGAUGAGACAUUUUUGAAGGAUAUUGGUUUACUUCUGGCCUUUUUGUGCAUUUGAGCUUAACUGAGACCUGAGUGUUUGUAGACGUUUAAGAGGCUGUUGUGUCGACCUUGAUUUAUUGCAAUAUUGAGGUGUUCAGUUUUAUUUUUAUUUUAGAAAAUAAACAUCUUACAAAUCAAUUGUUUCUUAUUUUCACCGGCAUGUCUCUUAGGUGUUGAGGACUUGUGCAUCUUUGAGCCUAUUAUUAGUAAAAUACUCAAGUACUGUUAAAAUCAGAUACUCUAAGACUUUUACUCAAGUUCUAUUGGAAUUGGUGACUUGUAAUGGAGUCAUUUUCACUGUAAGGUAUCUGUACUUUUACUCAAGUAUGGCUUUAAGGUACUCUUUACACCUCUGCGUCUAGUAUUGUUUUGUAAUGAUCUGUCCUGCAUUUAAGGGAGAAGUCAGAGGUCUUCAAAAAGGUGGUCUGUUUUAGGUCUGUCUUGGGAAAUAAUUUUUCUGAAAUGUAAUGAAAUAUGUGUUGCACAUGAUGGAAAAAGUUAGUGCAUGUUCUUUUUAUGAUUUAGGGAGCCUCAGACAUCAGCAGUGUUUUAUAAUCAUUCAUCACAAGGUCUUAUACUAUGAUAAACUGCUUUCUCAUAAUUAUUCAUGACACCACUUCUGUCUGCCAUACUAAGGCAGAAUAAAGACUGUUAGAGACGUACCACAAUUGUUCUACUUGAAAUUAAACAUUGCCUCCACUUUUAUUUUUUGAAGUGAUAUGCUUGUUUUACACUGAUUAAUGUAAACCAUUUACAAUCUCAAACAAAUUAAAGAAGACAUGGUCAAAACAUCUACAUGAAUAAUGUUACAGACAAUAACAAGAAAAAAACCCACUAAACUAAAAUUCAAUAAGCAUACUAUGUUUGCACCUUCUAAAGAACCAUCACCAAUGAUAAUGUGAAGCUACAGAUUCCUCUGUGGUAUGCAUGUACGUACGUACGUACGUGUGUUUGCGCAGUGUCAUUCUUUCACUGAGUAACGUCUAUACCUGAAAGAGCUGAAUAUUUCACCAGGAAACCUAAUAAACUUAAUGUCAAAGACAAAGCACACAUUGCUUUAAAAAGAAUCACAAACCUUUAUUGAACAGUGAACAGCAGUCAAAUGACUUAAUGAUAACAUACUGAUAUUUCUUAAAAAGCAAUCUACUGAUAAGCAGAAGCAUUUGCUUCAGUGACUGGAAACAAUACAUCUUGGGAACAUAUUGGUCAAUGUCAAAGAGUCCCCACAUUUCAAUCCCAUCCAUAUCAGUAUAAAGAACCAAACAUGAUUUUGGUCCAUAGGUUGGUUCAUGUGCCUAAAAUGAUUAAGUGAUCCAUUCAUGUUGGUCUCUGGGUAAAUGAGUGCAGUUCUCGCUUUACAUUCUUUUACUCUCUUCCUCAUUCAUUCUGUUUUUUUUUGUUUUGUUUUGUUUGUUUUUGUAUUUUAUUCUGUGGUCUAUGUCACCAUUCAUCUCAAAACA